GAGCAGUUUUGUGUCAGCAUCCAGCAUGGCUCCUUACCCCACCCCAGCCCAAGUGUCACCUUACAUGACCUACAGCGCUGCUCCUUCUGGUUACGUUGCUGGACAUGGGUGGCAACAUGCGGGUGGCACCCCACUGUCCCCCCACAACUGUGACAUUCCGGCAUCGCUGGCCUUCAAGGGAAUGCAGGCAGCCAGAGAAGGUAGUCAUUCUGUCACCGCUUCUGCACUCUGAUGAGAAAUUCCGUCUCCAGCAGCUGCUCUCGGGUCUCCCCUUCUCAGCACAUCCUCCCCACUUUCCCAGGUUUCACAUCUCACCCCUCCUGCCUUCUACCCUUCUUGCCUGGAGAGCUGGCUUUACAGACUCACAUCCUUUGUGCUGAUGACACUUAAAUAUUUCUUGCCAUAACCUCUUUCUUGCAGAAAACCUGACACGACUUAGGAUUUUAAAACAAAAGCAACGUUAAGGAUUGAAUGAGACUUUUGUGUUGCCCACACACUGUUUUAACGUAGUGAAGAAAUCUACACCCCUCAAAGGGCUUAAGGAACUUUUAAACUAGUCUUUGGUAAAACCACACAUGUAUAUUUAUUCUAAAUCAACCUGAACUUUUGAAAUGUGCAAUUGUUGAGAUUUUGCAAAAUCAAUAAAGAAAAACACAUGUAGAAAAAAAAGUUAUGCUACACCCUCUAAUCAAAUAAGGUGACCAAGUAAGCCUUAAUUUACC
RNAcentral lists this long non-coding RNA (722 nucleotides) under Marmota monax (woodchuck). Lineage: Eukaryota; Metazoa; Chordata; Mammalia; Rodentia; Sciuridae. The record is from RNAcentral.